RNAcentral lists this non-coding RNA (90 nucleotides) under Luteibacter sp. Sphag1AF. Lineage: Bacteria; Pseudomonadati; Pseudomonadota; Gammaproteobacteria; Lysobacterales; Rhodanobacteraceae. The record is from RNAcentral.
CCCUAUGGCGGGCGUGUCGGGCAGGCCUCGCGCCUGGCCGGGUACUGAUCAAGUCAACCGGUUUUCUACCCCGACACGUCCGCCACCCUG